CUAAGGCUAUCCCUAAAGACCUGCUUACUCCCAAUGAAUGCUGAAACCCAACGAAAGUCCUGAGACAGACACUACGGGCCUCCAAGAAGACCAACAGCCUGAAGAACAGAAGAAAGACAAAAACCCAGAUGAUCAAGCCCCAGCACAUUCCUAGCGUCAGGACCUAAAUCUGCCCUCAGCGGUUAUAAGAAGAGUCCCACAUAUAAUCUCCACCAUCUAGUGCCCUUUGGAUAGGUGGUCAAUGCCAAUGGAUAGAAAUAGGCCAGUGAGGAAAGCCUUGAGCCUGGAAAGGUCCAGAACAUGGGCCAAUAAUGAAUCUUCUGUCACAGCAGCAUACAUAACUCAUAUGCCACUCACUAAGUUAAACUUACUUCUACCGGGCUUUCCAGAACCACUAGAGAAGAGCAAGGAAUAGCAACAGGAACAAAGGAGAAGCUUGUCCUUUAGUCACGAACAGUACAAAUAAACCUUAUCAUUCCCAUUCAUUCAUCAAA
This is a long non-coding RNA of Hyaena hyaena (striped hyena), 494 nucleotides long. RefSeq lists it as uncharacterized. The transcript has 2 exons. The record is from RefSeq and is a predicted model, not a curated record. NCBI's taxonomy places the organism in Eukaryota, Metazoa, Chordata, Mammalia, Carnivora, Hyaenidae.